AAAAAGACAAAUUGUGGGUCUCGUAUCAACGUUUGACUGUCCGUCUUAUAUGAAUUUUUUUUAUAAUUAGUAUUUUCAUUGUUGUUAGAUGAUAAAACAUGAUUAAUACUUUAUGCGUGACUUAUCUUUUUAAUUUUUUUCAUAAUUUUUUCAAAUAAGACGGACGGUCAAACGUUGAACACGGAAAUCAGGGUUUGUCUUUUU
Oryza sativa Japonica Group (Japanese rice) is the source of this 204-nucleotide microRNA precursor. It matches the Rfam family "MIR812 microRNA precursor family". NCBI's taxonomy places the organism in Eukaryota, Viridiplantae, Streptophyta, Magnoliopsida, Poales, Poaceae. The record is from Rfam.